This 561-nucleotide ribosomal RNA is filed under the name uncultured bacterium. RNAcentral describes it as "partial 16S ribosomal RNA". It matches the Rfam family "Bacterial small subunit ribosomal RNA", at positions 355 to 905 of the family's 1533-position model. The record is from RNAcentral.
UGGGGAAUCUUCCGCAAUGGACGAAAGUCUGACGGAGCAACGCCGCGUGUAUGAUGAAGGUCUUCGGAUUGUAAAGUACUGUCAUUGGGGAAGAACGGUUUUCUUGAAAAGAUUGAGAAGACAUGACGGUACCCAAGGAGGAAGCCCCGGCUAACUACGUGCCAGCAGUCGCGGUAAUACGUAGGGGGCAAGCGUUGUCCGGAAUUAUUGGGCGUAAAGGGCGCGUAGGCGGGCCUUUAAGUCCGGUGUGAAAGAUCAGGGCUCAACCCUGAGAGUGCAUCGGAAACUGGAGGCCUUGAGGACAGGAGAGGAAAGUGGAAUUCCACGUGUAGCGGUGAAAUGCGUAGAUAUGUGGAGGAACACCAGUGGCGAAGGCGACUUUCUGGACUGUAACUGACGCUGAGGCGCGAAAGCGUGGGGAGCAAACAGGAUUAGAUACCCUGGUAGUCCACGCCGUAAACGAUGAGUGCUAGGUGUAGAGGGUAUCGACCCCUUCUGUGCCGCAGUUAACACAAUAAGCACUCCCGCCUGGGGAGUACGGCCGCAAGGUUGAAACUCAAA